GGGGGAAGCUUGCUUCCCCGCCGGCGAGCGGCGGACGGGUGAGUAAUGUCUGGGGAUCUGCCUGAUGGAGGGGGAUAACUACUGGAAACGGUAGCUAAUACCGCAUAACGUCGCAAGACCAAAGUGGGGGACCUUCGGGCCUCACGCCAUCGGAUGAACCCAGAUGGGAUUAGCUAGUAGGUGAGGUAACGGCUCACCUAGGCGACGAUCCCUAGCUGGUCUGAGAGGAUGACCAGCCACACUGGAACUGAGACACGGUCCAGACUCCUACGGGAGGCAGCAGUGGGGAAUAUUGCACAAUGGGGGAAACCCUGAUGCAGCCAUGCCGCGUGUGUGAAGAAGGCCUUCGGGUUGUAAAGCACUUUCAGCGGGGAGGAAGGGGAUAAGGUUAAUAACCUUGUUCAUUGACGUUACCCGCAGAAGAAGCACCGGCUAACUCCGUGCCAGCAGCCGCGGUAAUACGGAGGGUGCAAGCGUUAAUCGGAAUGACUGGGCGUAAAGCGCACGCAGGCGGUCUGUUAAGUUGGAUGUGAAAUCCCCGGGCUUAACCUGGGAACUGCAUUCAAAACUGACAGGCUAGAGUCUCGUAGAGGGGGGUAGAAUUCCAGGUGUAGCGGUGAAAUGCGUAGAGAUCUGGAGGAAUACCGGUGGCGAAGGCGGCCCCCUGGACGAAGACUGACGCUCAGGUGCGAAAGCGUGGGGAGCAAACAGGAUUAGAUACCCUGGUAGUCCACGCUGUAAACGAUGUCGAUUUGGAGGUUGUGCCCUUGAGGCGUGGCUUCCGGAGCUAACGCGUUAAAUCGACCGCCUGGGGAGUACGGCCGCAAGGUUAAAACUCAAAUGAAUUGACGGGGGCCCGCACAAGCGGUGGAGCAUGUGGUUUAAUUCGAUGCAACGCGAAGAACCUUACCUACUCUUGACAUCCAGCGAACCCUGUAGAGAUACGGGGGUGCCUUCGGGAACGCUGAGACAGGUGCUGCAUGGCUGUCGUCAGCUCGUGUUGUGAAAUGUUGGGUUAAGUCCCGCAACGAGCGCAACCCUUAUCCUCUGUUGCCAGCACUUCGGGUG
This 1068-nucleotide ribosomal RNA is filed under the name Dickeya dadantii. Its description in RNAcentral is "bacterial SSU rRNA". It matches the Rfam family "Bacterial small subunit ribosomal RNA", at positions 71 to 1133 of the family's 1533-position model. The record is from RNAcentral. Lineage: Bacteria; Pseudomonadati; Pseudomonadota; Gammaproteobacteria; Enterobacterales; Pectobacteriaceae.